Molecule: long non-coding RNA, 729 nt
Filed under: Fukomys damarensis (Damara mole-rat)
Lineage: Eukaryota; Metazoa; Chordata; Mammalia; Rodentia; Bathyergidae
Description: lncRNA (ENSFDAG00000023050.1)
Source: RNAcentral
GUCUGGACAGAAAAAUGACCUCUAUGUUAGUAUCAAGUAGAGGGAGACUUGGGGGAGGGUCAAGUGUACUUGAUGACAUCAUAAAGAGAGUGGUAGAAUUCUAUCUAGAACUGUAGAAACCUAAAGGGAAGACUCUGAAGACUUCUGCCCUCUAAAUAACAAGGCUCAAUUCUAUGGUUUCUUUGAAUGCCUUGGUGCUCAGUUAAUUAUCAGAUAAGGCUACUCUGGAAAGAAUCAAAGACAAAGAAAUCUCCCUUUGGUAGAGUAAAAGCCAUGGAACCCCUAAAGCUGUUUUGCAUUGCAUUUCUGCUAUGCUCACUGACUUGCUUCUUAUUGGAGGCAGAAGCUUCCCCUCCUUCACGUUUACUUGGCUUUGGAAUGCAAGACAAAUCAGGAUGGAAACCACGCUCGAGGGGUGUAUUUGCUAUUAGGAUGAUUGAUCCUAUCUUUGAAAAACGGAAGAUUCAUGUCUCAGGAAACCAGAAGUCCUGGCUGAGCAACUUCAGGGCUUACCUGGAUGAGCUCUUCAGGAAUACCACGUUUCCAGCAGCCAUUGUGGCUAUUUUCCUCAACCUGUCCCUAAUGGGGACUCUCUGUUGUCUCACCAUUCUUGUGGGUGGGCCAGUCCACUGAAGACUCAGUCUGCCCACUACAAGGCUCACUGGACUCCAAGACAGUGAAGAAGAAUAUGCUGUUUACUAAAGCAAAGUUAAAAUUAAAUUGUCUUCC